UGGGUAACCUGCCUCAAAGAGGGGAAUAGCCUCCCGAAAGGGAGAUUAAUACCGCAUAAUAUGUUUUAGUCGCAUGACUUAAACAUCAAAGGAUUUUCUUUUAGAAAUUCCACUUUGAGAUGGACCCGCGGCGCAUUAGCUAGUUGGUGAGGUAACGGCUCACCAAGGCAACGAUGCGUAGCCGACCUGGAGGGGGUNAUCGGCCACAUUGGAACUGAGACACGGCCCAGACUCCGUACGGGAGCAG
This 247-nucleotide ribosomal RNA is filed under the name uncultured bacterium. RNAcentral describes it as "partial 16S ribosomal RNA". It matches the Rfam family "Bacterial small subunit ribosomal RNA", at positions 118 to 347 of the family's 1533-position model. The record is from RNAcentral.